ACAAAAACAAAAACGAAUGUGCAGAAAGUAACCAAAGAGGGAACUGCAGUUUCACUGUAGCAUGGGUGAGGCCGGCGACCUGCCAUCUGUGCUCCUCAGGCUUCCUUCCUGUUGGCGCCUGUGCCGUGCAUCUGGGAGGACAGACUCAGAGGCAGAAGACAAGGAUGAAGCUUGUUCCGUCCAAAGGAAAGAGCACUUCAGAAAUGAUACCCCAAAUUGAAGAAGCAAGUGUAUAUUUCCGAGUGUCGUUAGUUGCACUGUUGUGGCUGCCUCCAUGUCCUGAAUUGAUUUGAAACUUUUCCCUUUCGUGGUCAUUUGGAGUUUGGGGAAGAGCCAGAAACACUCAGGAAACGGGACAUCCAGGACAGCUUGAGAAAGUGGCAAGAACCUGGAGAUAAGUGUGUUCAAAGUGAGGGGAG
RNAcentral lists this long non-coding RNA (419 nucleotides) under Fukomys damarensis (Damara mole-rat). RNAcentral's name for it is "lncRNA (ENSFDAG00000026820.1)". Lineage: Eukaryota; Metazoa; Chordata; Mammalia; Rodentia; Bathyergidae. The record is from RNAcentral.